CUUUGAAGGCUUUUAAGAAAAAAAAGUGGUAUUGUGAUUUUCUUUUUUAAUUGAUGAUUUUGACUGCAGUGUGGAGGAUGGAUGGAGGGAGGAGGGCAAAAAAGGGCAAAAGCAGGGAGACCAGAUAAUCAAUUAGAGUGAAAAGAGAGAUGUAGGUGGACUCAAGUAAUACUUUGGAAGUCAGAUCGAUAGAACUUUAUAAUGGACGAGAUACAGGAGUUAAGAACAAGUGGUAGGCUAAGAAGGUUGAUUCUCAGAUUUCCGGCUGUAGAAAGUCUAGAGAUUGAGCAGAUUGAUGUUGGAAAAGGAUGAUCAAAAGUUCAGUUCUGGAACUGCUAAAUUUUAGGAACAUUUGAGAUAUUUAAGCAGAUAUAUAGAAGAGGUAACGGGCUAUCAUGUCAGAGGUCUGUACUGGAAGAACAGAAUGUUCUGGCAUGCAGGAAGUGCCAGAAUUUGUAUAUGGUUUCAUAGCUGUGACAAAGGUUGAGAGAAGGAGUGUGUAGAGAAGAUGGUGGGAAAAAUAUCAUAAAUAUCUAAUAUGGGAAGGCAGAGGAUUUUUUUUGUUUGUUUGUUUGUUUUUGGUCUUUUGUCCUUUUAGGGCCGUGCUUGCGGCAUAUGGAGGUUCCCAGGCUAGGGGUCUAAUCAGAGCUACAGCUGCCGGCCUACACCAGAGCCACAGCAACACCGGAUCUGAGCUGCGUCUUUGACCUACACCACAGCUCACGGCAACGCCAGAUCCUUAACCCGUGGAGCAAGGCCAGGGAUUGAACCCGCAACCUCAUGGUUCCUAGUUGAAUUCAUUACCCACUGUGCCACAAUGGGAACUCUGAAAAGUUUAAUUUUCUAUUUUUACUCAGUUGUAUCUUAUUUGUCUAUUAAGAUGAACAUUUCUGGGCAGAGAUGUGAUUCUUCUUCCUCUGAUACUUUAUAUUGCAGGAGUCCAAUAAAUAUUUUUGAUUGAUUUAAGAAAAGUAAUGAUAAAAUAAAUAUUCUAACUUACAUCAGAAAGUCAUCUUACCUUCUAUAUCAAAUCCCGGUAGUUUUUUAAUAGACCAUUAGAAAGAUUUUAGACCAUCUCUUUGCAUAAGAGAGAAGAAAAUUUUUCAUAGCAAAACCAUUUUCUUCCUUGUCUGCUUAAAUCAGAUAUCUUAUUUGUUAGUAGAUUAAGGCCAUUCAACUGCAAUAAAGACUCUAAAUCAGAGGUUGACAAAAUAGGCAAGUAUCUGAUUAUGUUUCUGGACCUAUUCAAUGGCUAAUCAAAACUAAAAUCUUUACUUGAUUACAUUUAAGAGUGGUAGCACUUCAGGUUUGUAUCAGUUAAUCAUGAAACCAAAAAAUCUGUUAAAAUAGUUCAUAGCCUUUAUACCACCUGCCCCCUAGUACAGUAAUUACUGAAAGGUAAAAGGAAGAGUAGGGAGGAAGAUUAUUUCUAAGAGGAUUGUAUUUUUAAUACUUGGUUAAAUUAUGGCUACAUGAUUGUCAAGCCAGAGAUCUACAGGGAAAAUGAAAGAGGUUUAGUAGAAGAUAACAACUGAGGCUUAAAAGUAAGAGGAAUACCUGGUUGUGUUUAUCACCUGACUGUGGUGAUGCCCUCCCCUCUGGUUUUCAUCCAUUUUAUUUGGGGAGCGCGACAUUUAUGGGAUGAGCCUUUUGACCAAAAACAAACAAAACCAGAACAAGCAAACAAACAAAAAAUUAAAUCCCCAAACCCCAUUCUUUGAAUAACUAUUGUAUUGCUCUGGUUGGUUCAGGUAAAUUUCAAGCUGUGUGUGUUUUUCCUUUAAUUUCUAACAUUAUAGAAAAAGUGAUCAGAUAAUGCUGUAUGUCUUAAUAUUUAUUAGUAUUUUAAUAUAAGAAUAUAAAGCAAACAUGUCCUAUAGUCCUGUUUUCUAGAUAAUUAUGGUUGACAAGAAAAAAUAAGUAUGAAUACUGGGAGAAUCUGCAAACAAUACCAAGAAGCAUAAAGUAAAACUGAAAGUCUUCAUUCCCCAAACCCAGUCGUUCUAUUAAAGGUUUUUUCUGAGCAGUGCGUGUGUAGCUUCCAAAAGCAUAUAUGUAUAUAUUCAUUCAGUCAGUGAAUACUAUGGCACAUUUAUUAUGUCUUGACACAUCCACAAAUAUAUAUAUUGUACACACACAUAACACAAUGUAUUAUAUGUAUGACAUACAUAUGUGUAUGCAUAAUGUAUUACAUAUAUAGCACAUGCAUAUAUGUGUAUGUAAUAUACUACAUCUGCACGAUAAAAAGGUAUAUGUGUGUGUGUUUGUGUGCACGUGUGUGCAUGUGCACUCACCUGUGUGUACAUUUACAUACAUACGCACCCUGGUAUAACCAAAAAUUACUAAAAUGAUUUUUAGUUACUGAGGUUAUCUGCACACCAAAUGUGUUCCUAGGUAGACAAGCUUAUAUUUUUUUCUUUAUUUCAAAUAUAUAUAUAUUUAAUGAAGUAUAGUUGAUUUACAUUGUUGUGUUAUCUUAGAUGUACAGGACAGUGAUUCAGUUAUACAUACAUAUAUAUUCUCUUUCAGACUCUUUUCCCUUAUAAAUUAUUAUAAAAUAUUCAGUAUUGUUCCAUACUCUAUACAGUAGGUCCUCAUUGUUUAUCUGUUUUUUAUAUAGUAGUGUGUAUAUGUUAAUCCCAAACCCCUAAUUUCUCCUCACCAUUUCUUUCUCCCUUGGUAACCAUAAGUUUGUUCUCUUUCUGAUUUGUAAAUAAGUUCAUUUGUAUCUCAACUAUCUUUCUUACCUUUUGUUUUUCCUUUCCAUCCUUCCUUCUUUCAUUUCCAUAUUUGCAAAUGACACAUGAUAUAAUAGACAUUAUUUUUUUCUAAUUUCUUUCUUUCUUUUUUUUUUUUUUUUUUUUUGCUUUUUAGGGCUGUACUUGUGGCAUAUGGAGGUUCGCAGGCUAGGGAUUGAAUUGCAGCUACAGCUGCCAGGCUACACCACAAUCACAGCAAUGCAAAAUCCCAGCUGCAUCUGUGACAUAUGCCACAGCUCCCAGCAAUGCCUGAUACUUAACCCACUGAGUGAAGCCAAGGAUCAAACCCGCAACCUCAUAGUUCCUAGUCGGAUUCAUUUCCUCUGUGCCAUGAUGGAAACUCCUGUUUUCUAAUUUCUUGAUUAUGCUUCUUUAACUGCUGAGCCACGUAGGGAACUCCUGCUCUGCAUUUUUGCUUUUGGAAAAAUUCUACCUUAAUACAAAGCCAGUUCUACUUAUAAAUUCAUCUAAUCCAGCACCUUACCUAAAUUAAAACCCCACUGAUGGUUUGACUUUUAUAUUUUUAAUGAGGUAACACUGGUUUAUAAUAUUAUACACUUCAUGUGUACAACAUUAUGUUUUUAUUUCUGUACACUGUAGAGUGUGCUCACCACCAAAAAUUUAGUUUCCAUCUGUCACCAUAUAUAGUCGAUCCCCUUUACCCAUCCCACCCUCCUCCCAACCCUUCUCUGAUAACUAAUCUGUUCUCUGUAUCUAUUGGUUUGUUUUUGUUUGCUUUGUUCAUUUAUUUUUGUUUGUUUUUUUAUAGUCCAUAUUUGAGUGAAAUCAUACUGUAUUUGUCUUUCUCUGACUUAUUUUACUUAGCACAAUACCCUCAAAGUCCAUUUGCAUUGUCACAAAUGGCAUAAUUUUAUCUUUUUUAUGGCUAAAUAGUAUUCUUGUGUGUGUGUGUGUGUGUGUGUGUGUGUGUGUUUUGGCAUUAGCUUUACUUUCCAGCACCAUUUUAUGUCUUAUCCUUAUUCUGCAUUCUUCCUUACACAUUUAUAUUUAAUAAAAUAUACAUGUCCUUAUAAAGUAAAUUUAAUCAGUUUUUAACAGAGUGGGGUUAACCAAUUAAUUAAGAUUAAUAAAUAAAAAUAAACAAUUUAAUUUAUAAAUUAGGGAUAAAGUAAAUUGAGAAAGUGUUAGGUUAUAAUAACAUUGCAGUUGGCGAGAGGAUUUUAUCAUUAUUAAAAAGCAUCAGUCACCCCAUGAAAGAGAAUCCUGUGGAGAGAGAACUUCAUUAAAAUGGAAAAUUCUCUUCAUUUAGUUCAUUUAUGGUAUCAAGGUGGCGAGGAAUGAAAGGUAAUGUCAAAGGAAUAAAUAUCAGGUGGAUAACAUCAAUAUAAGAAAG
Molecule: long non-coding RNA, 4113 nt
Filed under: Sus scrofa (pig)
Lineage: Eukaryota; Metazoa; Chordata; Mammalia; Artiodactyla; Suidae
Description: lncRNA (ENSSSCG00000061073.1)
Source: RNAcentral